Molecule: ribosomal RNA, 771 nt
Filed under: Psychrobacter celer
Lineage: Bacteria; Pseudomonadati; Pseudomonadota; Gammaproteobacteria; Moraxellales; Moraxellaceae
Description: bacterial SSU rRNA
Rfam family: Bacterial small subunit ribosomal RNA
Source: RNAcentral
ACCGCAUACGACCUACGGGAGAAAGGGGGCAGUUUACUGCUCUCGCUAUUAGAUGAGCCUAAGUCGGAUUAGCUAGUUGGUGGGGUAAAGGCCUACCAAGGCGACGAUCUGUAGCUGGUCUGAGAGGAUGAUCAGCCACACCGGGACUGAGACACGGCCCGGACUCCUACGGGAGGCAGCAGUGGGGAAUAUUGGACAAUGGGGGGAACCCUGAUCCAGCCAUGCCGCGUGUGUGAAGAAGGCCUUUUGGUUGUAAAGCACUUUAAGCAGUGAAGAAGACCUAACGGUUAAUACCCGUUAGCGAUGACAUUAGCUGCAGAAUAAGCACCGGCUAACUCUGUGCCAGCAGCCGCGGUAAUACAGAGGGUGCAAGCGUUAAUCGGAAUUACUGGGCGUAAAGCGAGCGUAGGUGGCUUGAUAAGUCAGAUGUGAAAUCCCCGGGCUUAACCUGGGAACUGCAUCUGAUACUGUUAAGCUAGAGUAGGUGAGAGGGAAGUAGAAUUCCAGGUGUAGCGGUGAAAUGCGUAGAGAUCUGGAGGAAUACCGAUGGCGAAGGCAGCUUCCUGGCAUCAUACUGACACUGAGGCUCGAAAGCGUGGGUAGCAAACAGGAUUAGAUACCCUGGUAGUCCACGCCGUAAACGAUGUCUACUAGUCGUUGGGUCCCUUGAGGACUUAGUGACGCAGCUAACGCAAUAAGUAGACCGCCUGGGGAGUACGGCCGCAAGGUUAAAACUCAAAUGAAUUGACGGGGGCCCGCACAAGCGGUGGA